AUAUAUAGUACUAUUCUGAAUGCCCCAUCAAUGCCCUAUCAAGGAAGCUAAGGUCAGGCAGACCUGGUUGGUACUUGGGUGGGAGGCUGCCUGGGAACACUGGACACUAUGGGUU
RNAcentral lists this ribosomal RNA (115 nucleotides) under Notamacropus eugenii (tammar wallaby). The record is from RNAcentral. Lineage: Eukaryota; Metazoa; Chordata; Mammalia; Diprotodontia; Macropodidae.